GGAGCCGUGGUGUAGUCGGUUAACACGCCGGCCUGUCACGCCGGAGAUCGCGGGUUCGAGUCCCGUCGGUUCCGCCA
This 77-nucleotide transfer RNA is filed under the name Bacillota bacterium. RNAcentral describes it as "Firmicutes bacterium (compost metagenome) tRNA-Asp". It matches the Rfam family "tRNA". Rfam says of the family: Transfer RNA (tRNA) molecules are approximately 80 nucleotides in length. Their secondary structure includes four short double-helical elements and three loops (D, anti-codon, and T loops). The record is from RNAcentral. RNAcentral also lists the same sequence under 1 other name. Lineage: Bacteria; Bacillati; Bacillota.